Molecule: ribosomal RNA, 1679 nt
Filed under: Danio albolineatus (pearl danio)
Lineage: Eukaryota; Metazoa; Chordata; Actinopteri; Cypriniformes; Danionidae
Description: 16S ribosomal RNA
Rfam family: Bacterial large subunit ribosomal RNA
Source: RNAcentral
ACCAAACAGCUAGCUUAAUUAUUAUACUAACAAAAAAUAUUAAUAAUAAACAACUAACCUCCAACCAAUAAAUUAAAUCAUUGCUAAUAUCCUAGUAUGGGCGACAGAAAUGCUUCAACAAAGCAAUACGAAAAGUACCGCCCAGGAAAGCAUGAAGAGAACUGAAAUAAGUCAUAUAAGUAUUAAAAUGCAGCGCUUUACCGUCGUACCUUUUAGCAACAUGAAUUAGCCCGUAUAUUAACGCAAAGACACCUUUAGUCCUACGCGCCGAAUCCAGCUGAGCUGCCCCGUGACAGCCUAUUCAUUUCUGGCAAACCCAACUCUGCUGCAAAAGAGUGAGAAGUGCAUCCGGCUAGAAGUGUCAGACCUACCGAACCAGGUGAUAGCUGUUGUCUAAGAAAAUGAAUAGAAGUUCAGCCUCCUAACGUCCCAAAUCUAAAAUUUGAAACUAAAAUUUAGAGCAUCAUACGACAGUUAGUGCAAACGGGUUCAGCCAGUUUUACACAGGAUACAACCUUUAAAGGAGAAUAAAGAUCAUUAUAAUCAAAGCAUAAUGACGUAGUCGGCCCUAGAGCCGCCGUCUUAAUAAAACGCGUUUAAGCUUACACAAACACUGUUCAUGAUACUGUUAAAAAUUCAUACUUGCCUUUAAGUACUAGAGCAAUCCAUGGACCCUUGGAUGAAACUCUGCUAAUAUGACUAACACGAAGAUCACAUCCUUCUGCCCGCUUGAGUGUAAGUUAGAUUGGACCAACCACUAACAAUUAACGAACCCAAUAAAAGAGGGAAUUGUGAAUAUUAAACUAAAUAAGAUCUCACAACUGAUAAUCGUUAUCCCGACACUGGUCUGCAUAACAAGCAAAUACUAAAAGAAAGGGAAGGCGCUCGCCAAACACAAGCCUCGCCUGUUUACCAAAAACACCGCCUCCUGCAAAAAGAAAUAUUGGAGGUACAGCCUGCCCACUGACAUCAAGUUCAACGGCCGCGGUAUUCUUACCGUGCCAAGGUAGCGCAAUCACUCGUCCAGGUAAAUAAGGUCCUGUAUGAAUGGCUAGACCAGGAUUUUACUGUCUCCCCCUGUCAGGUCAGUGAAAUUGAUCUAUCCGUGCAGAAGCGGAUAUAAUUAUACAAGACGAGAAGGUCCAUUGGAGCUAGGUACACAGACUUAAUUACGUUGCAUGUUCUCAUCAGUGCACAUAACAUAGUAAAAAUAAAGCUUUAGCUUCGGAUGGGGAGACCAUGGAGGAAUCGAAAGCCUCCAAGUGGAUUGGGUUCAUCCCAGAAACUAAGAAAAACACUUCUAGGUCACAGAACUUCUGAGCAAUAAUGCGCGGGCUUAUAUGUCGACCAACGUACCAAGUUACCCUAGGCGUAACAGCGUCAUCCGCUCCCAGUGUCCAAAUCGACGUGGGCGCUUAAUGCCUCGAAGUUGGUUCAGCACAUCGUAAUGGUGCAGCCGCUAUUAAGGGUUCGUUUGUUCAACGAUUAAAGUCCUACGCGUUCUGAGAUCAGACCGGUGUCAUCCUGGGCAGAUUCCAUUUGUAAAGCUUCUUUUCCUCAAUACGAAUGGUUCGGAAAAGAGGGAUCCAUACCAUAAGCACGCCCGUCCCGUAAUUAAUCUAAACAGAUAAUUUAACAUAAGGGAGGGCCAAAACCCCAACCAUCCGAAAUAAGGACAU